RNAcentral lists this ribosomal RNA (497 nucleotides) under uncultured bacterium. Its description in RNAcentral is "partial 16S ribosomal RNA". It matches the Rfam family "Bacterial small subunit ribosomal RNA", at positions 28 to 507 of the family's 1533-position model. The record is from RNAcentral.
GAUGAACGCUGGCGGCGUGCCUAAUACAUGCAAGUCGAGCGAACAGACGAGGAGCUUGCUCCUCUGACGUUAGCGGAGGACGGGUGAGUAACACGUGGAUAACCUACCUAUAAGACUGGGAUAACUUCGGGAAACCGGAGCUAAUACCGGAUAAUAUAUUGAACCGCAUGGUUCAAUAGUGAAAGACGGUUUUGCUGUCACUUAUAGAUGGAUCCGCGCCGCAUUAGCUAGUUGGUAAGGUAACGGCUUACCAAGGCGACGAUGCGUAGCCGACCUGAGAGGGUGAUCGGCCACACUGGAACUGAGACACGGUCCAGACUCCUACGGGAGGCAGCAGUAGGGAAUCUUCCGCAAUGGGCGAAAGCCUGACGGAGCAACGCCGCGUGAGUGAUGAAGGUCUUCGGAUCGUAAAACUCUGUUAUUAGGGAAGAACAAAUGUGUAAGUAACUAUGCACGUCUUGACGGUACCUAAUCAGAAAGCCACGGUUAACUACGUG